This 85-nucleotide transfer RNA is filed under the name Labilithrix sp. RNAcentral's name for it is "tRNA-Ser". Lineage: Bacteria; Pseudomonadati; Myxococcota; Polyangiales; Labilitrichaceae. The record is from RNAcentral.
GGAAGAGAAACUGGCUGGGAGCCAGGACUGCCUCGAAAGCAGUACGCACCUUCACGGGUGUGGGGUUCGAGACCUCUCUCUUCCU